CUGAGGAUGAGAUUGAGAGAGAGGAUGAGAGGAAAGGGUGGGAGCGAGGAGUAACAAAAGUGAAAACAAUUUCAAAUAUAUUUUUUAGUUUUUAUUUAGUUUUUUAUUUUCACUUUUGUUACUCCUCCCUCCCAUUCUCCCCUCUCAUCUUCUCUCUCAAUUCCAUCUUCACU
Molecule: microRNA precursor, 173 nt
Filed under: Prunus dulcis (almond)
Lineage: Eukaryota; Viridiplantae; Streptophyta; Magnoliopsida; Rosales; Rosaceae
Description: sRNA ncRNA
Source: RNAcentral